UUUUCAUAAACUACUCAGUUUUCUCAGAGCUGAUCAAAUUGCUAUAACAAAAUCUAUUUUCUGUUGAAAGCUAACACAUUCGUGGUCGGAAUUGCGGUCGUAUAUUUUUGAAAGAGAAUUCUGGUGGAAAGAUAUCAUCAAAAGUAAAC
Molecule: long non-coding RNA, 149 nt
Organism: Bradysia coprophila
Lineage: Eukaryota; Metazoa; Arthropoda; Insecta; Diptera; Sciaridae
Source: RefSeq, a predicted model, not a curated record